CUUAACACAUGCAAGUCGAACGAGAAAUCUAACUGAAAGAGUUUUUCGGGACAAAUGGAUGUAGAGGAAAGUGGCGGACGGGUGAGUAACGCCGUGAGGAACCUGCCUUGAAGAGGGGGACAACAGUUGGAACGACUGCUAAUACCGCAUGACGCAUAGAGGUCGCAUGAUCUUUAUGCCAAAGAUUUAUCGCUUCAAGAUGGCCUCGCGUCUGAUUAGCUGGUUGGCGGGGUAACGGCCCACCAAGGCGACGAUCAGUAGCCGGACUGAGAGGUUGAACGGCCACAUUGGGACUGAGAUACGGCCCAGACUCCUACGGGAGGCAGCAGUGGGGAAUAUUGGGCAAUGGGCGCAAGCCUGACCCAGCAACGCCGCGUGAAGGAAGAAGGCUUUCGGGUUGUAAACUUCUUUUAAGAGGGAAGAGCAGAAGACGGUACCUCUAGAAUAAGCCACGGCUAACUACGUG
RNAcentral lists this ribosomal RNA (466 nucleotides) under uncultured bacterium. RNAcentral describes it as "bacterial SSU rRNA". It matches the Rfam family "Bacterial small subunit ribosomal RNA", at positions 47 to 507 of the family's 1533-position model. The record is from RNAcentral.